GCGGGGGUAGUCAAGCCAGGCCAAAGGCGUAGGACUUAAGAUCCUAUCUCGAAGGAGUUCAAGGGUUCGAAUCCCUUCCCCCGCA
Molecule: transfer RNA, 85 nt
Filed under: Methanocella paludicola SANAE
Lineage: Archaea; Methanobacteriati; Methanobacteriota; Methanomicrobia; Methanocellales; Methanocellaceae
Also listed under: 2 other names
Description: tRNA-Leu (TAA) (tRNA-Leu-TAA-1-1)
Rfam family: tRNA
About the family: Transfer RNA (tRNA) molecules are approximately 80 nucleotides in length. Their secondary structure includes four short double-helical elements and three loops (D, anti-codon, and T loops).
Source: RNAcentral